UAGAAUUUACUAGAGUGUUAAAAGUUUCAUAGGAAAUAGUCUCUGAAUAUCAGGAACACUUUAGAGUUUCCACCAGUGGGGAAAAGAUGAGCUAUUCAAUAAACAAUAUUAGAUUUUAUUCAUAUCUCAAAUCUUACACCAAAAUAAAUUUCAGAUAGAUCAAGACUUACAUGUGAAAAAAAUGAAAACUUGAAAGUAAGACAAGAAAAUAUGGGAGAAUUAUUUUACAAUCUGGGAAAGCCUUUCUAAGCAUGAUGCAAAAUAUAGAUGCAAUAAAACGAAAGAAGCUAAAUAUAAAUACAUGUUUUAAAUUCUGCUUAGUAACAACACCAGAAACAAACUCAAAAGGCAUGAAAAGCUUGGAACAACUAUUUGUAUUCCUAUGGAUUGAUAAGAAAAAGACCAGUAAUUCACUGAAAAAAAAAAAAUGGGCAGAGGAUAUGAACAGACAGUUCUUAGAAAUUUCAAAUGGCUUUUAAACAUAUGAAAGUAUGCUCUAUCUUUCCAUAAUAAAGAAAAUGCAAAUUUAAAAUACCAGAUUGGCACAGAUAAAAAUUUUGAUAACACCAUGUGGGUGAAGGUUAGAGAAACAGAUGCUCUCACAUAUUGCUGGUGGGAGUGUAAACUGGCUCAACCCCUGCGGAGAACAACUUGACGAUAUCUAUCAAAAUCUAAAGCGCAUGUUUUGGCAGGCGCCAUGAGUUGUGUACCCCAAAAUCAUUGCUCCAUACUCCUUGUUAAUAGAAUCCAUUUGUUCAAGUGGCAAUGUGCCAAGCCCCAAGAAACGAAUUUAUGUGCAGAUGCAUUCAUAUUCAUUAAGCACUUACUGGGUGCUGGGCACUGUUCUGGGCUCUGGGGAUGCAACAGAGAAGGAAGCAGAACAACCUCCCCCCGCCUUCAUGACAAUCCUGCACCCACUGAUGAAGAUACCAGAGCAAAAUGGCAAUAGUGGUAUUUUGAUGUGUAUUUCAGAUAAUAAAUGACCACCAUAUAAUUUUUCAUCAAAACUCACACACUUUUGAGAUUGAAUGCAAUGCUAUUAAAAAAUAUACUAGGGCCAGGCACGGUGGCUCACGCCUGUAAUCCCAUCACUGUGGGAGGCCGAGCCAGGGCGUCACUUGAGGUCAGGAGUUUGAUACCAGACUGGCCAACAUGGCGAAACCCCGUGUCUACUAAAAAUACAAAAAUUUGCCAGGCAUGGUGGUGCGUGCCUGUAAUACCAGCUACUCAGGAGGCUGAGGCAGGAGAAUCACUUGAACCCAGGAGGUGGAGAUUGCAGUGAGCUGAGAUCACGCCACUGCACUCCAAUCUGGGUGACAGAGCGAGACUCUGUCUCAAAAAAAAAAAAAAAAAAAAAAAUGCUAGGACAAGAGGUACAAACUGGCCUUGUCCCAAGCAAACUGGGAAAUAUGGUUACCUGUAAUCCUAAAACAUUGAUGAUGUCAACACUGCCUCAGUUGCUAUGAUGCCCUUCAAUUCUAAAAUGACUCCAUCACGAAAGUGAAGAAAAUCAGAACCCAAACUAGCUCUAGAGAAAAGAUACUCAACCUCUUUAAUAAUGAGGAAAAUAUAGAAACAAAUCAAUAAUAAGAUGCCUUGGAAGGAUUUGAAAGACAGGAAUGAUAGGUUCAGAAUGGUUUCAAAACUUGUCCAACUUUUCUAACAUGGUGAUAUCUGUGUAAAAAAAAAAAAAAACUUGUCCAGCUUUGAUUUGAAAUUGUAAUGCAGUCUUCUGGAUGUAUCUCCUGAAAUAGAAAUGAUGAAAACAUCAUUGUUGAAUUGAGGAAAAAUGGUGUUAUACUAACAAAUUUCAGCUCUUACACCCAGCACAGAAAACUAGAAUAAAAAAAAAAAAAAACUAAUAUUAGAAUCAUUAUUCAUACCCUUUUGCCUGGCAGUCAGUUUCCCAGCCUCUGUGUGGCCCAAUAGUGGUUAAUGAAACAGGAAAACAACUGUCAGGAUUUCCCUGGAAAGGCUUUCUCCCAGUAAAAAGGGACAUUCAAAAGUAUAGUGUGCUGGAGCUGCCUCUUCCCUCAUGUUCCAGCCUUGAAACUGGCCAUGAUGGCUGCAGCAGCUACUCCAGCUACUCUGGAGGCUGAGGCAGAAGAACUGCUUGAAGCCGAGAGGCAGAGGUUGCAACAAGCUGGGAUCACGCCAUUGCACUCCAGCCAUACUUACAGGCUCUGAUUAAGUUUCAAAGACUAAGCCUGCCAUGCUUGUCGGUGUGUGAUUCCUUCCUCUAAGAUUCCAGACAUUCCCGUCUCCAGGCAUCACUGUGUCGGGGGAGCGCUGUGUGAAAAUGGCUGUGAUCUUUGUGCGGUUUGUCCGGUUAUACCUCACUGGGACACCAGAGGGCGCAAGGAGGGCCAGCACUUGUUUUUCUUUAAAUCUCGAAUCAAAGUCCAUGCAGAGAACAACAAAAGACCCGGAACACAGGGGCCUUGAGACAAAGGGACUCAGGGGAAAAGGCUGCACGCCCUGUUUUACUGAAGUGGAAUUUGCUUCUUCACCCUCCUCACCUCCUCACCUCCUCCCCACCUUAAGGAACUAGAAAUAAACAACUUAAGCUGCAAAAUAAUGAAAUCUGGCUAACAAGGAAAACCAAACUAGAAUACAUUACUCAACAUGUCAUAGGCUAAGAGGACUAUCACAAAUGUACAUUUGAGCUAUUUGCUUUGCCUAAUAUUAAUAACUUUAAAGAAAAUUUUAUUGUUUGCUUUUCUGAGUUCAAUAUAUGCACAUAGUAGAAAAUUUAGAAAAGGUGGAAUAGCAAAAAGAACAGCGAUCAUCAACACACUCUUAACCCAGAUAUAACUACUUUUAAUAUCUUCAGCUACUUCUUUCCAAAAGAAGUAGAAACUGUUCCAUCCCACCCCAAACAGGCUGAAUAAUUUGUCCUUCUGGGUAGCCUGAGGACUGAAUGCCAAAGGGCCAGGGGGUGUGGGUCACCAGGACCCUUUGUUCCUCACACUGGGGCUAGUGUUUGCCUCAAAGCUAGACAGAUCAGUAAAGCUAUUAACCGGGAUAGGUCAGCAGGUGGUCAGUAGGGCAGGAAAAAAGUCAGGAAAACGGAGGUCACUGAUCUCCUGUUGGGUUGGGGCCAAUGUUGGCAGGCAGGUUCCUUAAAGGACAGGAAGCUUAGGCCAGCCCAGGAACAGAUAACUCUAAGGAAAGUGAUGGCAAGAUCUGAGGCCCUGAAAACCUCUGAGGGACACCUAAUCACUAAGCCCACAGAUUCCUUAAUUUACAGCAACAGAUAAAGGUGAUGUUCUCGGCCACAGGAAUUUAGUUAAAUCACUGGAGCUGUCUGGCCUCAGUUUCCUUAUCUGUAUAACGAAAGGAUCAAGAAGAUAGGUAAGGUUCCUGUCAGUUCCUCAAAGAUUGUGAUGUUUAAUUCUCCCCAGUCAUGCAUUAUAAUGAAAGGUGAAGACAUUUCCUGCCCCCUGCCACUCCAGUCCCCUAAGCAGCAGCCCCUCCACCAUAUACUCUUUCCCGCAUUGCCACUUUUCCCAAAUUGCCACAUGCUCUGAGCCUUUGUAUUAAUGUUUCUCUGUUCCCUAAGUGCUGGAAAACAUUUCCCCCAUUCUUUUUCUAAGUUCAUCAUCAUUCUUUGGUGGCCCAGCUAAAAAUAGGUCUUUCUUUGACCACUCCAGCCCUUCCCUCUCUGUAAUCCCGUAGUAUUCUGCACAUACCUCCAUCACUUUCUACCUCUGUAGCCUUCAUCUUCCAGUGCCUCAGUUUCCUCACUGUAAAAAGGAGAAAAUUAUUAUAGCAAACUCAUAGGAUUUAAAUAAGGAUUAAAUGGUAUUAAAUAAAAUGUAUAGUAAGUCAUUGGUUUGAACCAGAGGCUAGGAAAGGGCAAGGUGAAGCGUUUGUCACUUCCAGUUAAACUGUAGCCACAAAAAAAAAAGACUUAUGAAUUGUUUGAAGAGGCACGAGACCGUGGCAACCCUAACUGUCCCCGACAUCUGGCAGCCAUAUGCUAUCCUUGAACUUGAACUUCAGAGUGAAAGUAUAAAUUUGUAAGGGGAAGGCUCAGCCGCAAGUCACAUACCAGUGGUCAGUUAAAAAAAAAAAACUCAGGACGGCAACCUAAAUCAUUUAGAACGCGUCAAGAGCCUCGGAAAAACUAUUUUCACACACUUCUCUAGCACUAACAUGGGAAGCGCGUUUCCUUCACAUAUUCCACACCUUUUAUUCUUCCCACCAACAUCAAGAAUACAAAGCGCCCAGAGAGGACAAUAAGCCUAAGCAGCGGCUCCAAGAGACCGGACUUUCGUACUUCCCGGGGGCAGGCGGAAGGUUACGGAGCGCUGGAAGGAUCUUACUGCUCCUUGAAGGGCUGUCUGAGAAAAUACACAGCCUAACGACUCCUCGUUAGUAUAGUGGUUAGUAUCCCCGCCUGUCACGCGGGAGACCGGGGUUCAAUUCCCCGACGGGGAGGUGUGUAGCUGCACUUUUUUGGCGACAGUUAUUAUUUUCUGUAUCAUUCAAUGACAGGACACUGCUGUUAAACAUAAUAUGCUAAACCAGCUCCCUUAAGUGCACAACCCUGUCUUCAAAAUGGUGACUUUUAACCUUAAUGCCCACCAUGAAGUGAAAGCCUCCCCUGAGAGAAAAUGCCUUACAUUGUUUGCAGGAAGGGAGGAAAGGGAAAAAGAAAACGCUCUGAAGGCCUCUGCCCUUGCCUCCAGCCGCCAUCUUGCGAAGGCCUGCGCCGGCUUAGUGGCGCCCCGCCAGAUUACAACUCGAGGUCGCGAACUCAGCGCGCGGAACCUGUUGGGGGAGGGGAGAGAGGGCGGAGU
This 4805-nucleotide long non-coding RNA is filed under the name Homo sapiens (human). Its description in RNAcentral is "non-protein coding lnc-TMPO-1:1". The stretch from base 4372 to 4443 matches the Rfam family "tRNA". Lineage: Eukaryota; Metazoa; Chordata; Mammalia; Primates; Hominidae. The record is from RNAcentral.